GACGAACGUUGGCGGCGUGCUUAAUACAUGCAAGUCAUCUGAAGCAGUGGUAGCAAUAUCGCUGUGGAGGUGGCGCACGGGGGAGUAACACGUAGGUAAUCUGCCUUCAGGUCUGGCAUAACUCCGGGAAACCGGGGCUAAUAGCAGAUGAUGCAGCGGCUCGACAUCGAGACAGUUGUUAAAGCUAUGGCGCCUGAAGAUGAGCCUGCGUCUGAUUAGCUAGUUGGCGGGGUAACGGCCCACCAAGGCAACGAUCAGUAGCUGGUCUGAGAGGAUGAUCAGCCACACUGGAACUGAGACACGGUCCAGACUCCUGCGGGAGGCAGCAGUAAGGAAUAUUGCGCAAUGGGAGAAAUCCUGAAGCAGCAACGCCGCGUGAGGGACGAAGGGCUUUUGCUUGUAAACCUCUGUAGGGAGAGAAAAAAAUCCCAAUCUUUGGGACAUGAUGGUACCUCAAAAGUAAGCCCCGGCUAACUACGUG
Molecule: ribosomal RNA, 481 nt
Filed under: uncultured bacterium
Lineage: Bacteria
Description: partial 16S ribosomal RNA
Rfam family: Bacterial small subunit ribosomal RNA
Source: RNAcentral